GAUGAACGCUGGCGGCGUGCCUAAUACAUGCAAGUCGAGCGAACAGACGAGGAGCUUGCUCCUCUGACGUUAGCGGCGGACGGGUGAGUAACACGUGGAUAACCUACCUAUAAGACUAGGUUAACUUAGGGAAACCGGAUCUCAUAUCGGAUCACAUGUUGAACGGCAUGGUUCAUCGGUGAAAGCGGGUUUUGCUGUCCCUUAUAGUUGGUACCUCGCCGCAUUAGCUAGUUGGUACGGUAACGGCUUACCAAGGCAACGAUGCGUAGCCGACCUGAGAGGGUGAUCAGCCACACUGGAACUGAGACACGGUCCAGACUCCUACGGGAGGCAGCAGUGGGGAAUCUUCCGCAAUGGGCGAAAGCCUGACGGAGCAACGCCGCGUGAGUGAAGAAGGUCUUCGGAUCGUAAAACUCUGUUAUUAGGGAAGAACAAAUGUGUAAGUAACUAUGCACGGCUUGACGGUACCUAAUCAGGAAGCCACGGCUAACUACGUG
Molecule: ribosomal RNA, 497 nt
Filed under: uncultured bacterium
Lineage: Bacteria
Description: partial 16S ribosomal RNA
Rfam family: Bacterial small subunit ribosomal RNA
Source: RNAcentral